Molecule: small RNA, 278 nt
Filed under: Sinocyclocheilus anshuiensis
Lineage: Eukaryota; Metazoa; Chordata; Actinopteri; Cypriniformes; Cyprinidae
Description: Metazoan signal recognition particle RNA (ENSSANG00000030272.1)
Rfam family: Metazoan signal recognition particle RNA
About the family: The signal recognition particle (SRP) is a universally conserved ribonucleoprotein. It is involved in the co-translational targeting of proteins to membranes. The eukaryotic SRP consists of a 300-nucleotide 7S RNA and six proteins: SRPs 72, 68, 54, 19, 14, and 9.
Source: RNAcentral
GCCGGGUUCAGUGGCGGCGCCUGUAAUCCAAGCUACUGGGAGGCUGAGGCUGGCGGAUCGUUGGUGCUCAGGGCUUCUUCUGGGCUGCAGUGGACUAUGUCGAUCGGGUGUCCGCACUAAGUUCGGUGUCGAUAUGGUGCUCCUGGGGGAGCUCGGGACCACCAGGUCGUCUAAGGAGGGGUGACACUACAAAGUUAGUUUUAAUAAAAAUAAUCCUCAGGUAAACAAUUUUAAUUAAUCUUUAAUCUCCACACAGCUGCUUUUGGAGUUGUCCUUAU